UACGUAGGGGGCUAGCGUUGCUCGGAAUUACUGGGCGUAAAGGGCGCGUAGGCGGAUAUUUAAGUUGGGGGUGAAAUCCCGGGGCUCAACCUCGGAAUUGCCUUCAAAACUGGAUAUCUUGAGUUCGGGAGAGGUGAGUGGAACUCCGAGUGUAGAGGUGAAAUUCGUAGAUAUUGGGAAGAACACCGGUGGCGAAGGCGGCGACCUGGUCCGAUACUGACGCUGAGGCGCGAAAGCGUGGGGAGCAAACAGG
This 253-nucleotide ribosomal RNA is filed under the name uncultured bacterium. RNAcentral's name for it is "partial 16S ribosomal RNA". It matches the Rfam family "Bacterial small subunit ribosomal RNA", at positions 524 to 776 of the family's 1533-position model. The record is from RNAcentral.